RNAcentral lists this small RNA (142 nucleotides) under Actinomycetota bacterium. RNAcentral describes it as "Actinobacteria bacterium c-di-AMP sequence". It matches the Rfam family "c-di-AMP riboswitch aptamer (ydaO/yuaA leader)". From Rfam's summary of the family: This family represents a conserved RNA structure found upstream of the ydaO and yuaA genes in Bacillus subtilis and related genes in other bacteria. The ydaO/yuaA element is thought to act as a genetic "off" switch for the ydaO and yuaA genes in its native state. It is believed that the element may be triggered during osmotic shock leading to activation of ydaO, a predicted amino acid transporter gene, and members of the yuaA-yubG operon which code for KtrA and KtrB K+ transporters. Lineage: Bacteria; Bacillati; Actinomycetota. The record is from RNAcentral.
UCACCGGUAAUGCCGAAUCCCUGCCCGACCUUCGGGCGGGGAGCGGGGAAACCAACAUUUGGGGCGAACCCACCUUGGUGGGGGCGCAGCUCCUUUAGCGCUAGCCCGACAGCUAACCCCGUAGGCCCGACGAAGGAGACUG